This 429-nucleotide ribosomal RNA is filed under the name Chloroflexota bacterium. RNAcentral's name for it is "Chloroflexi bacterium partial 16S ribosomal RNA". It matches the Rfam family "Bacterial small subunit ribosomal RNA", at positions 355 to 776 of the family's 1533-position model. The record is from RNAcentral. Lineage: Bacteria; Bacillati; Chloroflexota.
UGGGGAAUAUUGCACAAUGGGCGCAAGCCUGAUGCAGCCAUGCCGCGUGUGUGAAGAAGGCCUCCGGGUUGUAAAGCACUUUCAGCGGGGAGGAAGGCGAUAAGGUUAAUAACCUUGUCGAUUGACGUUACCCGCAGAAGAAGCACCGGCUAACUCCGUGCCAGCAGCCGCGGUAAUACGGAGGGUGCAAGCGUUAAUCGGAAUUACUGGGCGUAAAGCGCACGCAGGCGGUCUGUCAAGUCGGAUGUGAAAUCCCCGGGCUCAACCUGGGAACUGCAUUCGAAACUUGCAGGCUAGAGUCUUGUAGAGGGGGGUAGAAUUCCAGGUGUAGCCGUGAAAUGCGUAGAGCUCUGGAGGAAUACCGGUGGCGAAGGCGGCCCCCUGGACGAUAACUGACGCUCAGGUGCGAAAGCGUGGGGAGCAAACAGG